CCUUUCUCCAGGAGACAUAAGGAGAACGUGACUAUGGGCCUGGAAGGCUUAGCUAGCCAUGUGGCUGGAUGGUUCUAGGUAGUCGGGUUAACUUAGAUGAGUAGUUGAGAGUCUGCCUAGCUGAGGUCUAAGGCUUUGAAAUGUUAAAAAGGUCUUUGUAUGGUUAUUUGGGGAACUAGCUGGUUAAGUAAUACUUGCCACUGUGCUCAUUUCUAGCAUUAAUUAAUAGAUACAGAAUUAAUAAUCAUUUUACACUGGCAGACUUCAGGAGCGCUGUGGUAUGAGUGGAAUGGGGCAGUAAGAUUAAAGAUGAGGCUUUUAAGAGGACUCUCAUGAAUGAGAUUACUAUUCCUUAGAAAAGGGCAGAGGGAGCAUGCAUGGGCCUUUCUGCCAUGUGAGGACAAACCUACAAGUUAAAGGAAGAGUGUCAUCAGACAUUGGCUGACCUCAGUCUGGACUUCCAGUGACACCUGGUAACAGACAAUAGAUGCCAUUUACCAAAAAUAAGGAACCAACAGCCUUGAUGUGGAUCAGGAUUGUAGUAAUGUCACGAUGUGGAUCAGGAUUGUAUUAAUGUCUUGGAGGAAUGCUAGUUCUUCUGACAUUCCCUAGUGUCCACCUGCCCCAUUCCUGGGGAUUUGCAACUACUCUUCCAGCAAAAGCUAUGGAAGGGGCAGGUCCUGCCCCCAGCACUCCAUGCCUUCCAGCUCCCUCAUCUUGAGAGCAUCCCAUCAUACUUACCAUGAUGGUGUGUUCGGGGAAUUUGGAUCGGACCAGUUUCACGAAUUCCACAAAAUGUUCCGAAUACCCAUUGGCCACAUCCAGGCAGAUGAACUUCACCUGAGGCACAGUUUCCAAGAUGCGGCUCAUCUUCUCAAGAUCAUUCUGCCCGCUGCCAGAACUCACAGCUAUAUGCUGUGGCAAAGUGUAACACAGACAACAGCCAUGAACAGUAGGACUCAAAGGAAGACCCUCCCUCCAUCCGGCAGCCCUCCAAGGUCUACCCUGAGCAAACACAGAGGCUCUGUUCAAACAGCAGUAGAGGUAAAAGAGACCUGCUCCUUCCAUGAUCUAAAUUCAUGGUUUUUUUCCUACCCUUGACUUAAUAUCCAUCCUUGAGCCUGGGUCUUGGCAACAAAACCUCAUAGUAAACAGAUUCUGAAAUACUCAGAAGACCUUCACAGAA
Long non-coding RNA from Mastomys coucha (southern multimammate mouse), 1186 nucleotides. RefSeq lists it as uncharacterized. The transcript is spliced from 2 exons. Lineage: Eukaryota; Metazoa; Chordata; Mammalia; Rodentia; Muridae. The record is from RefSeq and is a predicted model, not a curated record.